CGACUUCAUGAAGCUGGAAUCGCUAGUAAUCGUGUAUCAGCAAUGACACGGUGAAUACGUUCCCGGACCUUGUACACACCGCCCGUCAAGCCAUGGAAGUUGGAUAUACCUGAAGAUGGUUGCUGCAAAGCGCUGUUUAGGGUAGAGCUAGCAACUGGGGCUAAGUCGUAACAAGGUAGCCGUACCGGAAGGUGUGGCUGGAAUACCUCCUUU
RNAcentral lists this ribosomal RNA (213 nucleotides) under Acidimicrobiales bacterium. RNAcentral's name for it is "partial 16S ribosomal RNA". It matches the Rfam family "Bacterial small subunit ribosomal RNA", at positions 1313 to 1533 of the family's 1533-position model. Lineage: Bacteria; Bacillati; Actinomycetota; Acidimicrobiia; Acidimicrobiales. The record is from RNAcentral.